GGCGAUCAGAUACCGCCCUAGUUCUGACCGUAAACGAUGCCAACUAGCGAUCCGCCGGUGGAUUUUUAGCCCUGGUGGGUAGCUUCCCGGAAACGAAAGUCUUCCGGUUCCGGGGGAAGUAUGGUUGCAAAGCUGAAACUUAAAGGAAUUGACGGAAGGGCACCACCAGGAGUGGAGCCUGCGGCUUAAUUUGACUCAACACGGGGAAACUCACCCGGCCCGGACACCGUAAGGAUUGACAGAUUGAUAGCUCUUUCAUGAUUCGGUGGUUGGUGGUGCAUGGCCGUUCUUAGUUCGUGGAUCGAUUUGUCUGGUUUAUUCCGAUAACGAGCGAGACUCUAGCCUACUAAAUAGUAACGGGAUUAUUAUUGUCCCAGUCGCUUCUUAGAGGGAUUUUCGGUGUUUAGCCGCACGAGAUUGAGCAAUAACAGGUCUGUGAUGCCCUUAGAUGUCCGGGGCUGCACGCGCGCUACACUGGCGAAAUCAGCGUGCUGUAUCCAUUCUCGAAAGGGAUUGGUAAACCCAUGAAAAUUUGCCGUGCUUGGGAUCGGAAAUUGCAAUUAUUUUCCGUGAACGAGGAAUUCCAAGUAAGUGCGAGUCAUCAACUCGCUCUGAUUACGUCCCUGCCCUUUGUA
This 635-nucleotide ribosomal RNA is filed under the name cf. Cephalobus sp. Konza IDD-93. RNAcentral's name for it is "SSU rRNA". It matches the Rfam family "Eukaryotic small subunit ribosomal RNA", at positions 1003 to 1664 of the family's 1831-position model. Lineage: Eukaryota; Metazoa; Nematoda; Chromadorea; Rhabditida; Cephalobidae. The record is from RNAcentral.